Molecule: ribosomal RNA, 1047 nt
Filed under: Triticum aestivum (bread wheat)
Lineage: Eukaryota; Viridiplantae; Streptophyta; Magnoliopsida; Poales; Poaceae
Description: partial small subunit ribosomal RNA
Source: RNAcentral
AUGUUCCCGGCUGCUGCAGCUGCUUCCUCCAAGAAGCCCGACGUGAGCCCGUCGUCAGUUCACGAUCGGGCCGCCGCUGCCGCGUGCGACUCCGGCCUCGUCCUCACCACCGACCCCAAGCCCCGGCUCCGGUGGACGGUCGAGCUCCACGACCGUUUCGUCGAUGCCGUCGCGCAGCUCGGAGGCCCGGACAAGGCAACUCCGAAGACUAUUAUGAGGGUUAUGGGAGUCAAGGGCCUCACGCUUUACCAUCUCAAGAGUCAUCUUCAGAAAUUCAGGCUAGGGAAGCAGCACAAGGAGUUCGGUGAUCACUCGGUCAAGGAUGCUAUGGAGAUGCAACGGAAUGCAGCCUCUUCGUCUUCGGGUAUGAUGGGAAGAAGCAUGAACGACCGCAGCACGCACAUGAACGAGUCACUAAGGAUGCAGAUGGAGGUCCAAAGAAGGCUCCAUGAGCAGCUGGAGGUGCAGAAGCACCUCCAGAUGAGAGUGGAGGCCCAGGGGAAGUACAUGCAGUCCAUCCUGGAGAAAGCCUACCAAACCCUCGCGUCCAGCGAUUGCGCCACGUGGCCUGCUGCCGCCGGGUACAGAUCUCUAGGUGGCAGCCAGGCGCCGGCCCUCGACCUCGGCGGCUCCAUGAGCUUCCAGGACCUCACCCUGUAUGGAGGGUCGUCGAGCCAUCUGGAUCUGCAGCAGCACAUGGAGAUGAGGCCGACCAUGGCCAUGGACAGCUUCUUGGCGUUCAACGAGAGCUGCAUUGGAUCAGCAACAGUCAGGAGCUGCUCCACCGGGAAGAGCCCGAUGAUGUGGGGCAACGGCGAUGAUGAGCAGGCCAAGAGUGGUGGCAGCGCCGAUGAGCUUCUCCAGAUGGCGCCGUCGUGCAUGAUGGAGGCGGGUGGCGGCAGCGGCGGCUCAAUGGAUCCGAUCAUGUCAUUGUCCGGCGACUCCUUGGGCAGUAAGGGCUUUGACGGCCCAAUCAUCAGCUCAAAGCUUGAGAUGAGGUCAUCUCCACAGCAAGUAGGAAGUGAGAGGAACUUGUCCUACGGGUAA